This is a non-coding RNA of Microcebus murinus (gray mouse lemur), 4264 nucleotides long. The record is from RefSeq and is a predicted model, not a curated record. NCBI's taxonomy places the organism in Eukaryota, Metazoa, Chordata, Mammalia, Primates, Cheirogaleidae.
CCGGGAUGGCCUCUCACCGACGUGAUUCCCGCUGGGGGAGGCUGGGACCUGCUGGGUUCGCGAUGCCGCCGGUGCCUUGGAGAACUCCCCGUGGGUGUAAGUGCCGUGUUUGGAGGCGCUCCCGCGAUCUCGCCUCCGCCGACGCAGGGCGGCGUUUACCACACGGCCCACAGCCGAGGUCAGCAGAACUCUUCCUGUGAAACAGCGCAGACUAACUGACUUGGGCUGGUGCCAUCUUUCAAGGCAAGAUUUUCUUUGGAUGAACGGAUGGGAUACCUAAGGGUGUCAUGAAGUCGCCCUGCUCUCACCCUCCCUGGGCUCCUUCCCCACCAGCCAGAACAGAAGCAGCAGUGUUGACCUCACCCAGGCUGGGCACUGGGAUACCAAACGAAGAUGCCCUCAAGGCGUUUCAAAGGUAAGAUGCGUACAUGGACAGGUUUAAGACUAUGUAAAGGAAUAUUUUUCAGCCCAUGGAGAAAGAUUACAGAAGGGCAAUCUAACCUUCCUCAAGUACCUACUAUGUUCAAAGGAUCUUGUGUACGAUGUGCUCUUUAAUUCUGGGAGGGAGAUAUUGUUAUAAACCAAGAAAACUGAGGAAUUGAAGUUCAUUGAAAACUUUAAUAUACGUGCUUCUGUGAUAUUCAAGUGUCGUGGAGAUUGCACAAACAUCUAACUUAAGGUAAAUGGUCAGAAAUGGUUAAUUUAGGGAACAUGGAAGCACAGUUGUAUUCCAGCAUGAUAACUGAUUGGGAAGUGACGAGAAGUGAAGAGCAAGUAAAUACGGACGGUUCUUGCAACUUGUGAAGGAGAUGGAUUGGACAUUGAUUCUAUUCCAAAAAUUAAGGGAAAUUUAUUUAUGCAAGAGAACUAAAAUCUAGUGCCGUGAAACCCUGAUGAUUCCUACUUCAUGCUGCAUUGAUCUGAGUGCUGGAUGUGUUUUCCUUGACAGUUCAGGCAACACUGUUUUUAAUUCUUUGGAGACAAUCUGUUAUUAAAUUGAUCUGUGUAUUUAUGUUCUGUCCUAUUCACUGUUAUUUACUGCUCACCAAGGCUGCCAACUUUUAAACAGUCUUGGUAUAAAUGUUUGUUCCCAAACCUUUGCUGAUAGAUGUGUUUUAUGUAACAGUUAUGGAGUCCAUUAACAUGAAGCACUAAAACACAAAAAGAAACUAAAGAGAUUUAUAAGCAUAUGAAAUGCCCUCACCAGAGACAGUUGAAAUAAUAAAUCCGAAGUCAAAGGAACAUUUGUGAAGUUGCUAUGAACAGAUUUACCUACUUCAAAACAUGUUUUGUUAGACUGAAUCAUGCUAUAUAUUAUGUUUAGCUUAAAAGGUAAAAUACAAAUUGACUCUCAUUUAUUGGUAAUGAUUCCUCACUGUGUUUGAGGAGAGAGAUGUAAAAACAGAUUCUACUGUUUUAGAAGAGAGAAAUUCCACUUUAAACAAGUCUAUGUCAUUUGCAUUCUUGUUAAGAGAAACUGCCUGAAGGAAUUUUCUUUAAAAGUGGGAAAUUUAGGAAAGCUCAAAAUAUUCAUAUUUUAAGUGACAUUAAAAUACUUCCAACAUUAUUAUUUUACAGAAAUACUUAAUUGUGAGCCUAAUUGCUGGUAGCAACAGUAGUCUAGGGGGAAAUUUUUUCUUGACUGCAACUUGAGAUAUAAUUAGUAUCCUCAGAAACAGGCAACCCCUCCCCCCAACCCCUACUAAAAAAAUGGUUGGCAAAGCAAAAUGGUGGCAUCUGUCUCCUCGUUAAAACAUCAGAUUGACAAAGUCCAUGUACUUCUCUGUUUCAAAAAGUUCCAGCUCUUUUAAACAUCGACAUUCUUAUCAUUUCGUGUGUUUGGUGCUGGCCACUGGCUAACAGUGUCUGUGUGGAUUUCUCCUUGAAUAUCUUUCCCCCAUCAACUGAUAAGCAAGUGGCUCCUAGGACUUCUGGUGGAGAGCUCUGCUCAGGAAAGCAGGCUGAUAGCACACAUCUGAAAUUGUUACAGAAAACAUUCCUUCUCUUCUUGUGUGUGUUGUUGCUCGUUUGCUUGAUUUUUUUCCUAUUUAAAGGAACUUUUGAAGGUCUAACAGCUACAGGGCUUUCAGGUUGAAGUGGCCCCGGGAACUAGAGAGUGGCAGUUUAAUGUGCUUUCCUUGGAGAGAAAAAGACACUGGUAUUGUAAAUCUAGCCUGUAUUCACUAUCACAGGGCUAAUCCAUGGUCAUAAAAUUAGAGUCAAAUAUAUGAUAAACUGCAAGCCACUGUUUUCACAUCAAUCUGUACAAACAAGCUAAUAUGUUAUUUUAGUAGUGAAAAAAAAUUCUUAAUUUUUCCUUAAGCAUGUAGCUCUAGGUCUGGGAUUAUUAUAACAAGUAUUUUUGAGCAAAUUUAGUUUUUCUGUAUAAUUUUUUUAAAAAAAUAAAAAAUUUAAAAUUCAGGGGAAAAAUCUAAUCUCAAUCCCCCAAAGUAAAUACUGUUAAUAAUUUGGUGUUUUUCCCUCCAGUCUUUUAGUUAUUCCACUCAUCAAAAUUUGUAUUUUAUUUUUUCAUUGAGUACAAUUAAUAUAAUACUCUGGGAUGUCUUUUAUGAUGAUGUGUAAAUUACGAGUUUAAGAAAUGUUUUUGGAAGACAUAGAUAGAAAGGAAAAAUGUUUAGGCGUCAUCUUUCCUGCAACAACAGUAACACAAUUGUUCAAAAGAAAAGACUUUCAAAUCUUGUGAACAGCGCAUGGUGGUUUUCAAGUGUAGGAACUGAAAGUGAAUUUGAAAAGGUAGCAGGGAGAAGUGACAACUCCGGCCUUGAUGGGCAAGGGCAUGAAGAGCCACUCACUUCCUGGGGUGAGCACCAAGGGCCCCCGGUGCCUGUCCGCUGUGUUCUGAGCACAGGGCGCUGCUGCAGCCAGCCCCCUGCCCAUCUACCCUGCUUCUAGAGCCUUCCGAUAUCAGAACAGGAAGGGCUUUAGUCCAGCGCCUCUCACUUAACAGAUAAGAAUGCCGGGUCCAGGGAGGUAAAUAACCCAUGCAGGGCUGGCUCUGUCACCAGGCGGCAGUCCUCCCUGCCCAGGCAUCUGAGGGAGAACCUGGCCACUUCACCUCUCUUCACAGGUGGCUCUGCUGCCUCCAGCUGCCUGCAGAGGACAGCCAGGCAGCGGUGGGCCAAAGCCAGCCCGUUUUCAAGCGUAAGUCCAGAGGAAAGAUUUUAAUUUGAGGAGAAAGAGGAUUUCUAUCUCCCUUUCUACCAAGGGCACAUCAGAAACCCAUUUAAAUGAUUCUGAAAAGCCUCCAAAUUUUCCAUUCAAUGAAGGAACGUGCCAGAGAACCUUAAAAGCUAAAGGUUUCAACAACAGGACCUAAUAAAGUUCUGCUGCCCCUUCAAGGCUUGAUAUAAAUUCCAGAAUUCUAGAUUCUUGGGGCUGGAAGGGGCAUUAUAAAGGUGAUGUUUUCUUAUGACUUUUAAGCUACAGUUAAAAAAAAAAAGAGGUUAUUAAUUCCAUCACCAAGAGGUUACUAAACAUUCCUGCCUUCAACUACAAUUACUGCAGAAAUAGUUUUUAACUUUUCUGAAUGGAAUUCCAACAACAACAAUGAGAAAUUAUUAGUCCCUGUGAUGAUUGUGUUUGCCUUGUUUAGAAGAUGGUACUGAACAUCGAAUUUCCAUAUCAUCACUGACUUACCCUGUUCUUGCUGCUAUAACAAAACACCUUAGACUGGUUAAUUUAUAAAUCAUAUAACUGUAUUUCUCACUGUUCUGAAGGCUGGGAAGUCCAGAUCAGGUGACAGCCGAUUUGGUGUCUGGUGAGGGCUUGGCCUUCUCACUGCCUUCACAUGGUGGGGGGAGGCAAAGGGGUGAGGACCUCCCUUGUACCUCUUUUUUUUUCCUUUCUUAGAUUUAGCUUUUUAAAAAAUUGGUACAUAGUAGUUUUACAUAUUUAUGUGCUAUGCGUGACAUUUUGUUACAUGCAUAGAAUGUGUAAUGAUUAAGCCUGGGUAUUCGGGGUACCUAUCACCUUGAGUAUCAUUUCUAUGUGUUGGGAACAAUACAAGUCCUCUCUUCUAGCCACUUUGAUAUGCACAAUAUGUUGUUAACUGUAGUCACCCUGCUCUGCUAUUGAACCUGAGAACUUAUUCCUUCUAUCUGAAUGUAUUUUUGUGCCCAUUAACCAAACUCUCUUUGCCCCACCCCACCCCACCCUUCCCAGCCUCUAGUCACCAUCAUUCUACCCUUUACCUCAAUGAGAUCAAUUUUUUUAGCUCCCACAUAUGAGUGAGAACAUGCAAUAU